CCCGCCUCCAAUAUUUCAACGUAGGUUCUAUUUUCCCUAAGUGUUAGCCAGCUGAGAAAUAAAAGAGUACAAAGAGAGGAAUUUUACAGCUGGGCCUCUGGGGGUGACAUCACAUAUCGGUAGGACCAUGAUGCCCCCUGAGCCGCAAAACCAGCAAGUUUUUAUUAGGGAUUUCAAAACGGGAAGGGGUGUACAAACAGGGAUUAGGUCACAAAGAUCACAUGCUUCAAAGGGCAAAAAAGGAGACCAAAGUUCACAUGCUUCUGAGGCCAAUAAAGAUCACAAGGCAAAGGGCAAGGCAAAGAUCACAAGACAAGGGCAAAAUUAGAAUUACUGAUGAGGGUCUAUGUUGGGCUGUGCAUGUAUUGUCUUGAUAAACAUCUUAAACAACAGCAAACAGGGUUCGAGAGCAGAGAACCGGUCUGACCUCAAAUUCACCAGGGCGGGAUUUUUUCCCCCACCCUAAUAAGCCUGAGGGUACUGCAGGAGACCAGGGCGUAUUUCAGUCCUUUUCUCAACUGCAUCAGACAGACACUCCCAGAGCGGCCGUUUAUACACCUCCCCCCCAAGGAAUGCAAUUUUUUUCCUAGGGUCUUGAUAUUUAGUAUUCCUUGCUAGGAGAAGAAUUUAGCGAUCUCUCUCCUACUUGCACACGCAUUUACAGGCUCUCUGCAAGAAGAAAAAUACGGCUCUAUUCUGCCCAACCCCACAGGCAGUCAGCAGACCUUAUGGUUGUCUUCCCUUGUUCCUUAAAAUCGCUGUUAUUGUUUGUUUUCAAGGUGCAUUGAUUUCAUAUUGUUCAAACACCCAUGUUUUACAAUCAGAUUUCAUAUUGCUCAAACACACGUUCUACAAUCAAUUUGUACAAUAGUGGUCCUGAGGUGACAUACAUUCUCAGCUUACGAAGGUAACAGGAUUAGGAGAGUAAAGACAGGCAUAGGAAAUUAUAAGACUAUUAUUUGGUAACUGAUAAAUGUCCAUGAGAUCUUCACAAUUUAUGUUCAGAGACUGUAGUAAAGACAGGUUUAAGAAAUUAUAAAAGUAUUAAUUUUGGGAACUGAUAAAUGUCCAUGAAAUCUUCACAAUUUAUGUUCCUCUGCUGUGGCUCCAGCUGGUUCCUCGGUUCAGGGUCCCUGACUUCCCGCAACAACGCUGUCUCCAACUUGUGCCAUAACCAGUCUUUAGCAGGUCAUGCCACCUAAAAAGCCAGCUGCUUCUGGGUGAUGGACCGUAUGGUAAAAUUUGUCAAGUCUGCACGCAUGGGCCCAUUGCCCACAUGCCCAUUUACCAAAAAAAUGCAUCUCCUUGUUAAAAUGAAGUUGGAUGGUAUUCCAUGGUGAUGGAGAAGUCCAUCCAUAAAAUCUACAGUGUGCCAUCAGAAGCCCUGAGUUCAGGGAAGGCAAAUCCAUAUCCAUAAUAUAUCCCGUGAGGACAAAGCAUUGUACCCUCCAUGACAAGAGACUGAAUAUAGUCAACCUGUUACCAGGUAGGUGGUAGAAGAAUGUGUCUACCAGAGGCUCCUCACCCUUACCUGCUCUGUGAUUCCAAGAGAUAAGGGACUCCUUCAAAGCUACCAUGGAGGCCUUCUGGUUCUCCAUGCCUGUCUUAAUUGUAUGCUCUUAACUUUUAUUUCUCCUAUUCCCAAAAUAUGCUCAAGAGGGCUAUAAGAAACAGGUGGCCUCAGUUUUAAUAAUCAUUAUUGUUGUCAUACUGACUUAAGUGCCUCAGACACUUCAUCUCUCAAGGCCUUGUCCUCUACCUGCACUUCAUUCCAUGAUGCCAUUGGCAAUAAUCUGAAUAACUGUGAUGACACUGCAUAUCACAGAUUACUAUGUCCCACUCACCCCUGGCAAAGAGGUUAUCGAUGCACUCCUUGAAUAUAUGACCAACCCAAUCCCAGAAUCCAAUUAUUUUAACUUUUUCUUUUGAAAUAAUUAUAGAUUCAUAGCAGGUUGCAAAGAAGUAUACAGGGAAGCCCUAUGCUUCCUAUCUCCAUCCUCUCCCAAGACUAAGAUCUUAAACAACUAUAGUACAAUAUCCAAAUCAACAGAUAGCAUUGGUACAAUUCACAAAACUUCUUUAGAUUUCACCAGUUACACAUGCACUAAUUUUCAUGUAUAUGGCUCUAUGUAAUUUUGUCAUGUGCAGCUUUGCAUAAUCACUACCAUCAUCAAGAUACUUCACUAUCACAAGAUUCCUUACUAGUACCUUUUUAUGAUCCUCUCAUUCCAAAUACCUGGCAUUAAGUAAUCUGUUCAUCUUUGUUAUUUAAUGAAUGAUACAUAAAUGAAAUCAUGUGGCAUGUAUCCUUUUGAUAUGAGCUUUUUUCACUCAACAUAAUUUGAGGGUCAAGUUGUUGCAUGUUAUCAAUACUGGCCAAUAGCUUUCCUUAAAAACAAACAAACAAAACCUGUUAGAUAGUAUUUCAUGGUAUGGAUGUACCCACAGUUUGCUUAACCAUUCACACAUUGAAGGGUAUGUGGAUAGUUUCCAGUUUGAAACUACUAUGAAUAAAGCUGCUAUGAACACUUACGUAAACAUUCUUGUAUACAUCCUAUGUGAAAAUAAGUCUCUAUUUCUAUGGGAUAAAUGUUCAAGUGUGUAAGUGCUUGGUCAUGUGGUUACUUGCCAGACUGGCUGCACCAUUUUACAAUCUCAUCAGCAUUGUAUGAGUGAUCUAGUUUCAACUUCAUCCUUUUCAGCACUUGGUGUUAUCACUAUUUUUCACGUUAGCCAUCCUUAUAGAUGUGUAGUGUUAUCGCAUUGUGGUUUUAAUUUACAUCUAACAGCUACUGAUAUUGGACAUUUUUUUCAGGUGUUGUUUAUCUGUAUAUCCUCUUUAGUGAAAUAUCUUUUGCUGAUUUUCUAAUUGGAUCAUUUUUAAACGUUAAUUUUUGAGACUUCUUUAUGUAUUCUAGAUAAAAGCCUUUGUUGGAUUUGUGAUUUGCAAAUAUUUCCUAUUAGUCUAUAAUUUUUCACAGAACAAAAAUCUUGAUGAAAUCAGAUUUAUCCGUUUUUCCUCUUAUAAAUUGUGCUUUUGAUGUCAAGUCUAAGUACUCUUUGCCCAAUCUUAGGCCCUGAAGAAUUUCUCUUAUUUUCUGUAAGUUUUAUAGUGUUAUGUUUUACCUUUAAACCUAAGGUCCCUUCAGUUUUUAUAAUUUUAAAUAUAUAAUUUUGAGUUUUUUAGUUUUAAUAUAAGGUGUGAGGUUUAGAUCAAGGUACAUUUUCGGCUGAUGGAUGUCUAAUCGCUCCAGCACAAUUUACUGAAAAGGCUCUCCUCAUCUGCUGAAUUGCUUUUGCUUCUGUGUAAAUAACUAGGUGAUUUGUGUAGAUUUAUUUCCAGGUUUUCUAUGCUAUUCCAUCAAUGUAUGUUUCCUUCUCUCUGCCAAUACAGCACGCUCUUGAUUACAGGACCUAUGUAGUAUAAGCAUUUGCAUCAGAAAGGGAUUCCUUCAGUUUUAUUCUUCUUUUUCAAAACUGUUUUAGCUAUUUGCAUAAUCUUUCCUUUUCCAUAUAAACUUUAGAAUAAGAUUGUCUGUUCCUACAAAAAAUUUUGAUUGGUUUGGUAGAAAUUGCCUUAAAUCAAUAGAACAACUUAGGGAGAACUAACAUCGAUAUUAUGUUGAGUCUUCCAAUCCAUGAACAUGAUAAAUUACCUUAUUUAGGUUUCCUUUAAUUUCUUUCAUCAGUCUUUUAUAAUUUUCAUCAUAUAGAUCCUACAAAUGUUUUGGUACAUUUAUACCUAAGUAAUUUUCUUUGGUGUAAAUGUAAAUGUACUUCAUUUGUUAUUUUGGUUUCUACUUGUUUGCUGUCAGUACACAGAAAACAUAAAUGACUGUUGUCUGUUGAUCUUGUGUCCUUCAACCUUACUCAUUGAUUCUAAAAGUUUUAUUACACAUUCCUUGAAGUUUUCUGGGUAGACAGUCAUGUAUCUGCAAAUAGAGAUAGUUUCAUUAAAUUUCUCAUCUAUAUGCCUUUUCUUUUUCUUGCCUAGAAUUGCAGUGGCUGGAAAACUGCAGUAGUAAGUUUGUUGCCUAACGAUGGCAGGAAUGAACAUCCUUUCAUUGUUCCUAAUCUUAGAGGGAACACAGACUUUAAACGUUAAGUACGAUGCCAGAUUUUUUUUCUGUAGAUCCUUUUUAUAAAACUGAGGAAGUUCCUUCUUUAUGAUCUACUGAGAAUAUUGAUGUGUUGAUUUUUAUAUCAAAUGCCUUUUCUAAAUGAAUUGAUACACUCAUGUUUUUCUUCUUUAGCCUAUUGAUAGUUUAUUAAAUGGACUUUCCAGUAUUGAACCAGCCCUGCAUGCCUGAAAUAAGUUCCUCAUAAAAUGUAAUUCCAGCUACUCGGGAGGCUGAGGCAGGAGAAUCGCUUGAACCCAGGAGGCAGAGGUUGCAGUGAGCUGAGAUUGUGCACUCCAGCCUAGGUGACAGAGUGAGACUCUGUCUCCAAAAAAAAAAAAAAAAAAAAAAAAAGAGUUGAGAAGUGUUCCCUCUUCUAUUUUCUUUGGAAGAGGUUGCACAAAAUCAAUUCUUCUUUUGAAUGUUUAGCAAAAUUCUCCAGUGAAACCAUCAGGACUUGGAGGUAUCUUUUUCAAGGAUGUUUUCAUUACAAGUUCAGCAUCUUUAAUGGUUUCAGAAUUACUCAAGUUCUCUAUUUCAUCUUGGCCAAGUUCUUUUUU
This 4678-nucleotide long non-coding RNA is filed under the name Homo sapiens (human). RNAcentral describes it as "HSALNT0033894". The record is from RNAcentral. Lineage: Eukaryota; Metazoa; Chordata; Mammalia; Primates; Hominidae.